RNAcentral lists this long non-coding RNA (2508 nucleotides) under Homo sapiens (human). Its description in RNAcentral is "non-protein coding SOX2-OT:30". The stretch from base 463 to 738 matches the Rfam family "SOX2 overlapping transcript exon 3". The record is from RNAcentral. Lineage: Eukaryota; Metazoa; Chordata; Mammalia; Primates; Hominidae.
AGUGCUGUAUUGUUGAGUUUUGUAUGAACUAAUCUAGCUUCUCUAAAAAAAAAAAAAAAAAAAAAAAAAAGAAAGAAAAGAAAGAAAGAAAAGAAAGAAAGAAAGAAAAAAAAAGAAAAGAAAAAAAAGAGAACCACAGCUUUGGACAAAAGUCUAUAGCCAGUGCAUUUGAAAACUCCCCUUGCACCAGGGCUGACUGUAGCUGGGGGAAGACAUUUUACUCAUUUGCUCUUUCCUUUCAUACAGUCAGCUGGUCCCUCUUCUCAGGUGUAGAUCACCUAUUAUAAUUUUACCUAAUUUUGAUACUCUGAUAAGGAAAGUCCCAGGACUUAUCAGCUGGGAUAGGCCUCACUUACAAGACAGCUCUGUUCAGUAUUUGGAAGAAAGCCUGACAGGUUUCUUCGGAAAAGUGGCCAUCCAUGGAAUGAAUGAAAUGUUCUCUUUCUAUUCCAGGGAUUGCAGUGGCAAAGCUAGGCUAGGUCUUGGAGGCUGGUGUAAGGCGAUGUGGGUGAAGGCAGGAGGCUGAUGGAAAGACUGGGGGGAAGAAAAGCCGAAAUGGAUUCACGGUGCCUUGGAUGAAGGACGAGAGGGGAACUGCAAGCUCCUUCAACUGGUUCUGUCCGGUGAGAAGUGAUCAAGCUUGGGCUGACAAGAGGCUCAGGGAGCCCUCACGUUCUUUCGCUUUUUUACCUGCCAAUCAAACUGCUACAAGACAACACCCUGAUCUGGCAUGGACAUCGCGGGUCCAAGCCUGUAGCCCCAAAUCGGAUAAUCUCUGCAGCUGAUAACAAGCAAAAGAGAAGCCAGGCAACAGCCAUAUUAAAGAAGAAAACAAUCAACUCUGAGAUCCAACUUAGAAAUAAUGUUUCAUUCAAGAUAAGGCUCGUGGCUUAGGAGAUUGUGACCUGGCUUGCAUCAUUCUAAGACUUCUAUCGUCUGUUUUCAAAACCCAAGGAGGACCUCCUUUUCUGUGUGAUAGUUCCUCAUGCUUUGCCAGCCACUGGGUCUUUAAGGAAGCUUGCCAAGAGUUCCCGGCUGGGAAGGACAGUUCGAGUUCAUCAUAGACAAUGAGCUGGCACCACAGUUUAAGUGACUCACCAACCUGGUUGCCCACUUCAAAAUGUCAAGAACCACACUAUCUAAUUGAAAGAACUGUGUUUUAGCAAAGUGUAAUUGGAUCGCCUGGCAAGAUCAUCUCAAACUAUGUCUCUGACCUUGCCUUUCAGUGGCUAUUUUGAGCACAAGAGGAGAAAGGAAAUGAUUCCUGAAUUAUAUCUUGUUUUUAAAAAUUAAGAUUAAUUAAUACUUGGUUUUAUGUUCAUUCCAUUGUAGGAACUUAGUGAUUAUUACAAAACAGUCAAAAUAGGUCAUAGCAAAAUGAACGUUUAAGAUUAGGUUAAAACAUUCCUCUGAAAUUUUAGUAUUCACUUUUGAAGUGUCAAUUACUAUAUUUCUGUAAUUUCUCAUUUUUUUCUUGGCUUAGAGUCAAGAUGAAAAAUGAUAUUUGAAUCAAAGACAUUGUUUUGUUAUAUAGCCACUCCUUUCUAAAAUGCAAAUCCACCCUCCCCUCACCAAUGCUUUAUUCUUUGUGCGCGCACACACACACACACACACACACACACACACACACACACACAGACAUACACAGAACCAGCACCCAAAUGGUAGAGGAGGUCCUUCCAAGACUUCUAGGACCUGGAUCAUGUAAGCAGUAGAUGAGAAAAUGAAGUAAGAGAUAUAGAGUAAUAACAAUAAAAGUCAAUGAUUUCAUUUUACAAAAAAGUCAUUGUGUAGUACUCAGAUAUUUUUAAGAGCAAGUAUUAUUAUGACUAAAGUAUAUUAUACUUCUAAAUUAUUAUGAUUCUCAUCUAAUUUCAAGCCACACAUAGGCGCCAUUUGAAAGCAUUUUGUGUUACAACCUAUCAACAAAAAUCAACUAAUAGUUUUAUAACGUGCAUAGGUUUACCCCAUGGGGAAUUAAAAUUUUUAUCUGCAAGUAUUUCUGUUGUUGUGAGACUUUAGGACAAGACAACAUUUGGUGUUAACAUAGAAGAAUAUUCUAUGGCUUUUUUAGCUUUAAAGUUCAUUACUCUAAAAUAAAGUACACGUGGUAUUUUUUUCUUCCUAGUGUUCUCUUAUUAUAUGUAGAGUAUUUUCGGUUGUUGUUUUUAACGUAUACAUUAUUUUUAUUAAGUCAUUUCAUAAAAGAUAAGAUAUAUACUAAUAGACCCUUGGUUUUCUCCUAAUUUAAUUAUUUCAAGUCAAGCAAAAUUGGGCAAUUUUCUUUCAGGAAAAAAAAAAUAUUGAGCAUGAUUUUGAGGUAAAACUGAUUAUUUACAGCAUCUUUUCUCUAAUAGGCUAACAUUUAUGAUGGAUCUUAUUUCAAAGUUGAUUAUUCUCAAAGAAAAGUGGAGAUAUUAGAAUUUCCGAGUAAAUUGCAUUGUUUUAAAAAGUACUUUAAUGCAUUGUUCACAUUGUUGCCAGCUAUUGACCAAAAAAGAGAAGAAG